UCUAAUGCUCUUUAGACAAUCCACACACCAAUUCACGACAGUCUUCAUUCAUAUCUACUUCCAACAUAUGAACGACUAUGGCCCGUUCGAAUAAUUCGAUUAUUCUUAAUAAAUUCAAUUAUUCUGGAAGUCAAAACAUGCAAAUGUGAAACACAAGAAUAAUACUAAUCCCAUAUGGCCUCAAACCUUUGAGUAUAAAUAAAACGCCUUUUAUUUAUCACCAUAUUGAUUACUCAUUAUUUGUCGUUUCGGGUAAUCAACUUUUUACUUGAAUUACAACACUUGUCCCAUGCUCUUAGCAUGCACACAAUGUUUACCUAUGGUUCUUACUUUGUGAAAUAGAUUACAUUGAACACAUUUCCAAUCAUUCUCAUUUCACAACUCCAAAUCCUUUUUCAUAAGUGUGACAAUAUCAAAUUCUUGUUACUUAUAAAAUAUGCUAGAUUCUAACAUUCUANAAAGAAUAUCAAAUUCUUGCUACUUAUAGAAUAUGCUAGAUUCUAACAUUCUAUGCAUGAUCCUUUUUGUAAUGUCACUGCACCAAAGUCACAAAGACUAUUGCCAAUGAUAUUACAAAGUCCUCUAUCGGAGAUUGUUACAAGACAAUUCCAUAGACGUGAUGUCUCUCACUCAAAGUACUUUCUUUGAACAUCCUUUUGCAUAGAAGUUUCUAAUCUAGUCAUAGAUUUCUCAAUAUUCAAUUCCCAAUAUGGACACACUUCCAUAUGUUCCAUAUGACAACUCAUUCUUAAUAGAAUCUUAUCUAUUCGUAAUGAUGUCGAUAUGGUCCAUCCAAUAUGGAAACAUUUCCAUAUUUUCCAAUACUAUACUUCCAACUACUCACAAGCGAC
RNAcentral lists this long non-coding RNA (851 nucleotides) under Lactuca sativa (garden lettuce). RNAcentral's name for it is "long non-coding RNA (LSAT_LNC001881)". The record is from RNAcentral. Lineage: Eukaryota; Viridiplantae; Streptophyta; Magnoliopsida; Asterales; Asteraceae.